Pogoniulus pusillus (Red-fronted tinkerbird) is the source of this 264-nucleotide long non-coding RNA. RefSeq lists it as uncharacterized. NCBI's taxonomy places the organism in Eukaryota, Metazoa, Chordata, Aves, Piciformes, Lybiidae. The record is from RefSeq and is a predicted model, not a curated record. The transcript has 3 exons.
UCGGUGGGUUUCCGGUCGGGCGGCGCCUCGUGGCGGGCGCGGGGCCGCGGGUUCCGGGCAGCGCCGUGGGGGCACUGAGUGGACUUCCUGCUGGGGUUCAGCCCGAGAGGAGCCCCAGCCCUGAAUGUCGACUGUGAGUGGUUCCAUUGGUGAGGUGGCUGGACCAGAAGAUCGUUCUGCAGGAUGGUGAGAGUGCUUUUUAGUUAUAUAGAAAGUAGUUUUACCUAACUGGAUGCUAAACAUGAAUAAAAUCCUGUUCUUAAA